This 254-nucleotide ribosomal RNA is filed under the name uncultured bacterium. RNAcentral describes it as "partial 16S ribosomal RNA". It matches the Rfam family "Bacterial small subunit ribosomal RNA", at positions 524 to 776 of the family's 1533-position model. The record is from RNAcentral.
UACGUAGGGACCAAGCGUUGUUCGGAUUUACUGGGCGUAAAGGGCGCGUAGGCGGCGCGGUAAGUCACUUGUGAAAUCUCUGAGCUUAACUCAGAACGGCCAAGUGAUACUGCAGUGCUAGAGUGCGGAAGGGGCAAUCGGAAUUCUUGGUGUAGCGGUGAAAUGCGUAGAUAUCAAGAGGAACACCUGAGGUGAAGACGGGUUGCUGGGCCGACACUGACGCUGAGUGCGCGAAAGCCAGGGGAGCAAACGGG